GUAGCUAAUACCCGAUACAUCCUUUUCCUGCAUGGGAGAAGGAGGAAAGGCGGAGCAAUCUGUCACUUGUGGAUGGGCCUGCGGCGCAUUAGCUAGUUGGUGGGGUAAAGGCCUACCAAGGCGACGAUGCGUAGCCGACCUGAGAGGGUGAUCGGCCACACUGGGACUGAGA
This 172-nucleotide ribosomal RNA is filed under the name Paenibacillus polymyxa. RNAcentral describes it as "partial 16S ribosomal RNA". It matches the Rfam family "Bacterial small subunit ribosomal RNA", at positions 159 to 324 of the family's 1533-position model. Lineage: Bacteria; Bacillati; Bacillota; Bacilli; Caryophanales; Paenibacillaceae. The record is from RNAcentral.